UGCGUAGGCGGCCAAACAAGUCAGAUGUGAAAUACCCGGGCUUAACUCGGGGGGUGCAUUUGAAACUGUAUGGCUUGAGUGUAGGAGAGGAAAGCGGAAUUCCUAGUGUAGCGGUGAAAUGCAUAGAUAUUAGGAGGAACACCAGUGGCGAAGGCGGCUUUCUGGACUACAACUGACGCUGAUGCACGAAAGCGUGGGGAGCAAACA
This 207-nucleotide ribosomal RNA is filed under the name uncultured bacterium. RNAcentral describes it as "partial 16S ribosomal RNA". It matches the Rfam family "Bacterial small subunit ribosomal RNA", at positions 568 to 774 of the family's 1533-position model. The record is from RNAcentral.